GAGCCCCUGGCUCAAUGGUAGAGCGUCUGACUCAAUUAUCAGAGAAAGCGGAUUCGAAUUCCAGGUGUUUU
RNAcentral lists this transfer RNA (71 nucleotides) under Schistocephalus solidus. It matches the Rfam family "tRNA". Rfam says of the family: Transfer RNA (tRNA) molecules are approximately 80 nucleotides in length. Their secondary structure includes four short double-helical elements and three loops (D, anti-codon, and T loops). The record is from Rfam by way of RNAcentral. Lineage: Eukaryota; Metazoa; Platyhelminthes; Cestoda; Diphyllobothriidea; Diphyllobothriidae.